AAGUUUGAAGUAAAAUUUUUACAUCUAGUUUCGGCCUAGAAAUUGACUAUUUUGUCCUAACUUA
This 64-nucleotide transfer RNA is filed under the name Eurycercus lamellatus. RNAcentral describes it as "tRNA-Arg". The record is from RNAcentral. Lineage: Eukaryota; Metazoa; Arthropoda; Branchiopoda; Diplostraca; Eurycercidae.